GCCGGGGUGGUGAAAUUGGUAUACACGUACGCUUGAGGUGCGUAUGCCGAAAGGUGUGCAGGUUCAAGUCCUGUCCCCGGCACUA
Molecule: transfer RNA, 85 nt
Filed under: Candidatus Woesebacteria bacterium RIFCSPHIGHO2_01_FULL_41_10
Lineage: Bacteria; Candidatus Woeseibacteriota
Description: tRNA-Leu
Rfam family: tRNA
About the family: Transfer RNA (tRNA) molecules are approximately 80 nucleotides in length. Their secondary structure includes four short double-helical elements and three loops (D, anti-codon, and T loops).
Source: RNAcentral